ACCUUAUGCUGAUCCAUUCGACUGUCUUCUGGGAACCUUUCAUAGACUGAACAACUUGAGAAUUGACUCUCAAAACUGUCAGGAUGUAGAAAAGCUGUUAAAAAAAUUGUUGCACAUCCUGUCAGAAAAAAAGAUUACAAUUCAGAAAGAAGAUUGGAGAUGCUCUGCUUCUGCCUGUCUAAAAGUUCAUGAGAUAUGCAGCAAUCAGAUUCAAGAAAUAUCACAAUACAAGUUAUUAGCUACAGCAGUUGAGAUUGUUUCAACAAUUCUUGCACUCGUACCAUCAGAGGUUUCCGAGUUUGCCAUAGUAUUCAACAGUGUUUAUAAAACUACUAGCAAUUGGUUUUAUAAUUCUCUUCCGAAAUCUCUGCUGGAAAAAGGACGAAUUGUGUUUUCUUCGAAAAAGGAACUUGAGGCAUGGGAUCACUUUUUGAAAAUAAAGUUUCCUAAUAGCAGUACUUCGGAAUAUUGGAAAGAAUCUUUGAUUUCAAUUUUGAAAAUGAGAAUUA
Molecule: non-coding RNA, 509 nt
Organism: Thamnophis sirtalis
Lineage: Eukaryota; Metazoa; Chordata; Lepidosauria; Squamata; Natricidae
Source: RefSeq, a predicted model, not a curated record